This 497-nucleotide ribosomal RNA is filed under the name uncultured bacterium. Its description in RNAcentral is "partial 16S ribosomal RNA". It matches the Rfam family "Bacterial small subunit ribosomal RNA", at positions 28 to 507 of the family's 1533-position model. The record is from RNAcentral.
GAUGAACGCUGGCGGCGUGCCUAAUACAUGCAAGUCGAGCGAACAGAUAAGGAGCUUGCUCCUUUGACGUUAGCGGCGGACGGGUGAGUAACACGUGGGUAACCUACCUAUAAGACUGGAAUAACUCCGGGAAACCGGGGCUAAUGCCGGAUAACAUUUAGAACCGCAUGGUUCUAAAGUGAAAGAUGGUUUUGCUAUCACUUAUAGAUGGACCCGCGCCGUAUUAGCUAGUUGGUAAGGUAACGGCUUACCAAGGCAACGAUACGUAGCCGACCUGAGAGGGUGAUCGGUCACACUGGAACUGAGACACGGUCCAGACUCCUACGGGAGGCAGCAGUAGGGAAUCUUCCGCAAUGGGCGAAAGCCUGACGGAGCAACGCCGCGUGAGUGAUGAAGGUCUUCGGAUCGUAAAACUCUGUUAUUAGGGAAGAACAAAUGUGUAAGUAACUGUGCACGUCUUGACGGUACCUAAUCAGAAAGCCACGGCUAACUACGUG